ACUGACAUCACAACGAGACUAC
Molecule: small RNA, 22 nt
Filed under: Arabidopsis thaliana (thale cress)
Lineage: Eukaryota; Viridiplantae; Streptophyta; Magnoliopsida; Brassicales; Brassicaceae
Description: ATSL252390
Source: RNAcentral